Molecule: ribosomal RNA, 518 nt
Filed under: uncultured bacterium
Lineage: Bacteria
Description: bacterial SSU rRNA
Rfam family: Bacterial small subunit ribosomal RNA
Source: RNAcentral
CUGGGCGUAAAGCGAGCGCAGACGGUUACUUAAGCAGGAUGUGAAAUCCCCGGGCUCAACCUGGGAACUGCGUUCUGAACUGGGUGACUAGAGUGUGUCAGAGGGAGGUAGAAUUCCACGUGUAGCAGUGAAAUGCGUAGAGAUGUGGAGGAAUACCGAUGGCGAAGGCAGCCUCCUGGGAUAACACUGACGUUCAUGCUCGAAAGCGUGGGUAGCAAACAGGAUUAGAUACCCUGGUAGUCCACGCCCUAAACGAUGUCAAUUAGCUGUUGGGCAACUUGAUUGCUUAGUAGCGUAGCUAACGCGUGAAAUUGACCGCCUGGGGAGUACGGUCGCAAGAUUAAAACUCAAAGGAAUUGACGGGGACCCGCACAAGCGGUGGAUGAUGUGGAUUAAUUCGAUGCAACGCGAAGAACCUUACCUGGUCUUGACAUGUACGGAAUCCUCCAGAGACGGAGGAGUGCCUUCGGGGGCCGUAACACAGGUGCUGCAUGGCUGUCGUCAGCUCGUGUCGUGAG